GCUGGGCAUGAUGGUGCAUGCCUAUAGUCCUAGCUACUCAGGAGGCUGAGGCAGGGGCACUGCUUGAGCCCAGGAGUUUGAGGCUGCAGUGAGCUAUGAUAGCACCACUGCACUUUAGCCUGGGCAACAGAGUGAGACACUGUCUCUA
This 148-nucleotide non-coding RNA is filed under the name Nomascus leucogenys (northern white-cheeked gibbon). Lineage: Eukaryota; Metazoa; Chordata; Mammalia; Primates; Hylobatidae. The record is from Rfam by way of RNAcentral.